CCUGUAUCCUGAUAUUGUUGUUGUUGUUAUCAUAAUACCAGUCUACUUUUCACAAAAACUUUUCCCAUCAUGCUACCGGCUCGGAAAUGGUGACCUCUCGACCUGAACUACGAACAUUAACAGCACAAAUGACAGCCGGACACAGGUGCUCCCGGAUAGUGGUACCAGAGACAUCAGGCACGGCAACAGCAAGGGCCUCAUUUAACACCAGUAAGCUGUCUACACGCCCCAGCUUUUGGUGUCUCGCAGCACAUUUGGGAACUCUGCAGCCCACACCUGUUGUUGUCUGAGAACAUCCAUCCAGCCUUUCGUCCUGAACUCCUCCCCGAUCAGGACUAAGGUUCUAAUACAUGAAGAGAGGGGAUCUUCGUUCCUCAUCAUCGUCAACUUGACCCUUUCCUCAUCUCCCCCAGUGUUGCUGAUUUUGGGGCCAACAAAAGGAAUGUACACGAAUCUACGAAGAUCCCUGCAGCUUCUUCUUGGACCUUGCCGACGAUUGUCGUCCCACGUCUCGUCCUAAGGUUUGGACUUCGCUCGAACUCCAGCUGUUUUCUGACGAGGAGUUCCUGAAAUGCUGUGUCACUUAUGGAGCACCUUAGCCCUGCCCAGUCUUGGUCCCCCAUGGUUCUGUUUGCGUAUUUGACAAAUCGGUCUUUUUUCGCAUCGACUGGGAUGUACCUGAUCCUGUGAUGUGAAACAGAUUGGCAUAUUGUUAUUGCACAAGUUCACUUUUAAAUUCAGCUUGUAUAAUUUCUUAUUUUGAGGCAUUUGUUUUGUUCUGACUGUGGUAGAGCUAGUUGACUUAUUCAGUGGUUACAAAUGAACUAGGUCUAGUUGAAGGGACCUGAGUAGUGCAUGAAAAUGGAGUUUGGUAUAAAAACAAUUGCUCUUCCUCCGUGUGUUUCUGCAAAUUGUUGGUACCAGACAGCAUAAUGGUACUUGUUAGAGUUUCCUUAUGCAUUGUGAUAAUAGUUGGCAUGUAGGUUAUGAUCUGUGUAAAAUGUAGGUUCUGGAACUGUACAGAAUAUGAAACAAUUCUGACAAUCUUUCUGAAGAUAGGAACAGCAGCUUUUAGCUUGUACAAAUUUGUAGGUAGCCUAAAAAGAGACACAGUGAAAUGCAAAUUUUGCAAGUUAGAUCAUUUGCUCACACUCACACUCACACACAGUGUCACACUCACACUCAUUAUCCGGUUUGACAUCACUCUGUUCCCCAUGUGCUCUCCUGGUGACCCCCAACCUAAACCAUAACAGACAAAGGUCUAUUUACAGUUCAACACCUCCAUUACUCAAAGUCUGUGCUAAGACUAGUUGUGAGCUCUGACCUACCCAUAUUCUAUCAUUACAUGUUUAGCCACCAACAAAGUGGGAUAAUUCAGCAAAAAGGGGAAUAAUUGGUCAGGAAGGAUAACAUUUCCAGGCCUUGAAGGCCCAUGGAAAGUCGCAAUAUUCACUGUGCACUACAUUAAAUUAUUUUUAUAUUUAGCUAUGUAAUAGGUGCAGCCAAGAAGCUAUAUAUUAAUCAAGGGUUAAUGACCUGCCCCAAGGUGUACAUGGUGUCAUAACGCCCGGUCCUUUGCUUUAACCACCAAAUAAAACCACCGAGUGACGAUUCAUUCUGGCUAAUCAGAGGAGCGAUACACACCGGCCUGGCCGGGCCAAGACUCAUUACAGGAAGCUGGGUCCAUCUUGAGAAGAAGUUUAUCAUCUACAGCCUUCAUAAGAAUGAAGACUAUGAUAUGAACUCAAUUUCAUGGUAAAAAAAAACAACAUGUACAGAUCUCAUGACAUACAUGUAUGUUGAAAUAGUCUUCCUAAUAGAAACUUAUUAACAUUUGCUACAAUUCUAUAUUGGUCAAAGAGUUAGAUUUAGGGCUGUUGUUUCAGAAUUGACUAUCAUAAAAACAUAAAGUCAAAUGCACAAAACUGAUGAUCAUUGGCAAAAAAUGUUUGUUUCCACUAUUAACCUUAAUGUUUAUUUAUUCAUUUACUAUUGCUAGUGGUCUAAACACACUUCUCCCAUUAAAUGCCUCCACUUUGUCAUGUUCCAAACAAACUUCAUACAUUGUAAGCCCUGUAGUGCGCUACUAGUCUAUUGUCUAAAUAAAAUAGAGAUCAGAUGACAUCCACAUACACUCACCAAAGCACAGCUGAAUAGUACAUUGUGUCCCUUCAUGGGUCGUUAGUACUAGCUGUAACAUGAUUACAAAUUCCCCUUUUUCCAUUUACAACAUGCCAAUUACAAUUAAAUCCAUCUCAUUAUGUUAAUCUUCACCGAUAUAUGUGCCAAAAACAAUUACAAUUCAACAACCCCUGCUCGAGUAGUACCCUUCCAAUUGUAACAACAAAACAAACUACUUCAGUUCAAAAGAAUCCAGCAGGAGGCCCAAACGUAGGACAGGCCUACAAAGAGUGAUUAAAUCAGGCUAAACCUUGGUGAGGAUAAUAAUUCCUGCUGUUGGAAUGAGUACCCAUCAAAGUUGCAUCUUUUCAUCGUAAAGGGUAAUUUAUAGUGAAACUUAACUCUAUGUAGUAUGUUACUAAGUAACAAACACUGAAAAGUUGGGACUUACCCAACAUGCAUCUCUAGAUUGCAUAAGUUUAUAACCUACCCUUUCUUCUGGUCAUGGCAUGUGAUGUGCACUAAGUGACCGGCAUGAUCUCCUGUUACCUGUUAAGAUGGGAGACACUGUUAGUUCAAAGUACAAAAUCAUAAAUCUGGUUGCAGAGGGACUGAGAUAGAUUGUGUUCACAUUCAAGAUAGAAUUAUUUCCACCAAGACAAUUUCCAUGGUAAUGAAAAUUUGACCAAAGCUUCUUGGUAAGUGAUACAAAUCUACCACAUUAGUGUCACUUUACUACACCAGUGCACUUCUUAACUGCAGGAAUGAAUGUGUUUGCUGUGAUGUCGUGUUUUGCUGCUUCAGUUCUUAUUACAACAUUCCCGUACAUCUAUUUUGAAACUGUAAUUAGCUAUCUUUUUUUUACCCAGCUUUUUUGCGACUUAUCUUGCUAUUUUUGCAGUUUGUGGAGGAUGUAAAAUUUAAAACAUUUAAUAGAAGUACCAGACUGUUAGCUA
Long non-coding RNA from Branchiostoma floridae (Florida lancelet), 3077 nucleotides. RefSeq lists it as uncharacterized. The record is from RefSeq and is a predicted model, not a curated record. The transcript has 4 exons. NCBI's taxonomy places the organism in Eukaryota, Metazoa, Chordata, Leptocardii, Amphioxiformes, Branchiostomatidae.